GACGAACGCUGGCGGCGUGCUUAACACAUGCAAGUCGAACGGAAAGGCCCUGCUUUUGUGGGGUGCUCGAGUGGCGAACGGGUGAGUAACACGUGAGUAACCUGCCCUUGACUUUGGGAUAACUUCAGGAAACUGGGGCUAAUACCGGAUAGGAGCUCCUGCUGCAUGGUGGGGGUUGGAAAGUUUCGGCGGUUGGGGAUGGACUCGCGGCUUAUCAGCUUGUUGGUGGGGUAGUGGCUUACCAAGGCUUUGACGGGUAGCCGGCCUGAGAGGGUGACCGGCAACAUGGGAACUGAGAUCCGGCCCAGACUCCUACGGAGGCAGCAGUGGGGAAUAUUGCACAAUGGGCGGAAGCCUGAUGCAGCAACGCCGCGUGCGGGAUGACGGCCUUCGGGUUGUAAACCGCUUUCGCCUGUGACGAAGCGUGAGUGACGGUAAUGGGUAAAGAAGCACCGGCUAACUACGUG
RNAcentral lists this ribosomal RNA (467 nucleotides) under uncultured bacterium. RNAcentral describes it as "partial 16S ribosomal RNA". It matches the Rfam family "Bacterial small subunit ribosomal RNA", at positions 28 to 507 of the family's 1533-position model. The record is from RNAcentral.